This 460-nucleotide ribosomal RNA is filed under the name uncultured bacterium. RNAcentral's name for it is "partial 16S ribosomal RNA". It matches the Rfam family "Bacterial small subunit ribosomal RNA", at positions 338 to 795 of the family's 1533-position model. The record is from RNAcentral.
CCUACGGGAGGCAGCAGUGAGGAAUAUUGGUCAAUGGACGAGAGUCUGAACCAGCCAAGUAGCGUGAAGGAUGACUGCCCUAUGGGUUGUAAACUUCUUUUAUAUGGGAAUAAAAUGUUCCACGUGUGGGAUUUUGUAUGUACCAUAUGAAUAAGGAUCGGCUAACUCCGUGCCAGCAGCCGCGGUAAUACGGAGGAUCCGAGCGUUAUCCGGAUUUAUUGGGUUUAAAGGGAGCGUAGGUGGAUUGUAAAGUCAGUUGUGAAAGUUUGCGGCUCAACCGUAAAAUUGCAGUUGAAACUGGCAGUCUUGAGUACAGUAGAGGUGGGCGGAAUUCGUGGUGUAGCGGUGAAAUGCUUAGAUAUCACGAAGAACUCCGAUUGCGAAGGCAGUUCACUGGACUGCAACUGACACUGAGGCUCGAAAGUGUGGGUAUCAAACAGGAUUAGAUACCCCAGUAGUC